GAUGAGCGCUGGCGGCGUGCCUAAUACAUGCAAGUCGAGCGAACGGACGAGAAGCUUGCUUCUCUGAUGUUAGCGGCGGACGGGUGAGUAACACGUGGAUAACCUACCUAUAAGACUGGGAUAACUUCGGGAAACCGGAGCUAAUACCGGAUAAUAUUUUGAACCGCAUGGUUCAAAAGUGAAAGACGGUCUUGCUGUCACUUAUAGAUGGAUCCGCGCUGCAUUAGCUAGUUGGUAAGGUAACGGCUUACCAAGGCAACGAUGCAUAGCCGACCUGAGAGGGGGAUCGGCCACACGAGAGGGGAGACACGGUCCAGACUCCUGCGGGAGGCAGCAGUAGGGAAUCGUCCGCAGAGGGCGAAAGCCUGACGGAGCAGCGCCGCGUGAGUGAUGAAGGUCUUCGGAGCGUAAUACUCUGUUAUUAGGGAAGAACAUAUGUGUAAGUAGCUGUGCCCAUCUUGACGGUACCUAAACAGAAAGCCACGGCUAACUACGUG
This 497-nucleotide ribosomal RNA is filed under the name uncultured bacterium. RNAcentral describes it as "partial 16S ribosomal RNA". It matches the Rfam family "Bacterial small subunit ribosomal RNA", at positions 28 to 507 of the family's 1533-position model. The record is from RNAcentral.